This is a non-coding RNA of Aspergillus bertholletiae, 109 nucleotides long. NCBI's taxonomy places the organism in Eukaryota, Fungi, Ascomycota, Eurotiomycetes, Eurotiales, Aspergillaceae. The record is from the annotation of a GenBank genome assembly.
GCCCUUAUAGCUCAGUGGUACGAGCGCAUCACUCGUAGCCUAAGGCAUCUGUCGGAUACCUGGGUGUUGAGGCAUGAUGAGGUCCGCGGUUCAAUCCCGCGUGGGGGCA